UUUACAAUGUACGAAAGUGUGAUAAGGGAAUCCGAAGUGCUCAGCUUUGCUGGGCUUUUGCCAAACGUAAAUAGUUUGGCGAAUAAGGGGUGGGAAAGACUGGUGCCAGCCGCCGCGGUAACACCAGCGCCCCGAGUGGGGAUCCUGUUUAUUUGGCCUAAAGCGUUCGUAGCUGGUUUAGUAAAUCUCUUGUGAAAUUGUUCGGCUCAACCGAGCAGCGUGCAGGAGAGACUGCUAGACUAGGGACCGGGAGGAGUUAGGGAUAUGCUGGGGGGAGCGGUAAAAUGCAAUAAUCCCCGGUGGAUCACCUGUGGCGAAGGCGCCUAACUAGAACGGGUCCGACAGUGAGGGACGAAAGCCAGGGGAGCAAACCGGA
RNAcentral lists this ribosomal RNA (376 nucleotides) under uncultured euryarchaeote. RNAcentral's name for it is "bacterial SSU rRNA". It matches the Rfam family "Archaeal small subunit ribosomal RNA", at positions 349 to 728 of the family's 1478-position model. Lineage: Archaea; Methanobacteriati; Methanobacteriota. The record is from RNAcentral.